AAUAGGGCUUACACCAGGCCCAGUUGUUGGUACUGUCGUAACUGCAUGUUUGACUGUUGGGACAAGUGGCCUGAAUCUCCUAUUUUAGUCCACUUCCACGGUUGGCACAGACAAGUAUAUGUGGACUCCGGUUGAUUCAAGGUUUUGCAAUUAGCCAUCUACCAUACAGCAAGGGAGUAUACAAUUACAAACCGCUCCCGAUUGCUGCUGCUGCAGGCAACACGUGAAGAUCUAUGGCUUCCCAGGUUCGAACUCCAUGGCCAAGUCACUAUCAGGAGCGACCACAGGAGAGGCAGCGGCCAAACUGGCAAUGACAAGGACUAGAGAGACAAGAGUGAUCUUCAUUCUGUCAGUAAAAGAUGAACUUGAGGAAUAAAAGAUGAUAUAUGGAAAUUGUUGAUGGUUAUUUUGGCAAACUGAAGAAAGUGAUGAUGAAUUAUAAUUUUAAAAAAGA
RNAcentral lists this small RNA (454 nucleotides) under Histoplasma capsulatum var. duboisii H88. RNAcentral's name for it is "Histoplasma capsulatum H88 hypothetical RNA". The record is from RNAcentral. Lineage: Eukaryota; Fungi; Ascomycota; Eurotiomycetes; Onygenales; Ajellomycetaceae.